Molecule: ribosomal RNA, 519 nt
Filed under: uncultured bacterium
Lineage: Bacteria
Description: partial 16S ribosomal RNA
Rfam family: Bacterial small subunit ribosomal RNA
Source: RNAcentral
GACGAACGCUGGCGGCGUGCCUAAUACAUGCAAGUCGAGCGAGUCUGCCUUGAAGAUCGGAGUGCUUGCACUCUGUGAAACAAGAUACAGGCUAGCGGCGGACGGGUGAGUAACACGUGGGUCACCUGCCCAAGAGAUCGGGAUAACACCUGGAAACAGAUGCUAAUACCGGAUAACAACAGAUGAUGCCUAUCAACUGUUUAAACGAUGGUUCUGCUAUCACUCUUGGAUGGACCUGCGGUGCAUUAGCUAGUUGGUAGGGUAACGGCCUACCAAGGCGAUGAUGCAUAGCCGAGUUGAGGGACUGAUCGGCCACAUUGGGACUGAGACACGGCCCAAACUCCUACGGGAGGCAGCAGUAGGGAAUCUUACACAAUGGACGCAAGUCUGAUGGAGCAACGCCGCGUGAGUGAAGAAGGGUUUCUGCUCGUAAAGCUCUGUUGUUGGUGAAGAAGGACAGGGGUAGUAACUGACCUUUGUUUGACGGUAAUCAAUUAGAAAGUCACGGCUAACUACGUG